RNAcentral lists this ribosomal RNA (699 nucleotides) under uncultured Glomerales. Its description in RNAcentral is "LSU rRNA". It matches the Rfam family "Eukaryotic large subunit ribosomal RNA", at positions 38 to 633 of the family's 3401-position model. The record is from RNAcentral. Lineage: Eukaryota; Fungi; Glomeromycota; Glomeromycetes; Glomerales; Glomeraceae.
GCAUAUCAAUAAGCGGAGGAAAAGAAAAUAACAAUGAUUCCCUUAGUAACGGCGAGUGAAGAGGGAAAAGCUCAAAUUUUAAAUCUAUCAUGUUGUACAUGAUCGAGUUGUAAUUUGAAGAAGCGUUUUCUCGUACUUUAUGAUCAGUAUAAGUUCUCUUGGAACAGGACAUCAUAGAGGGUGAUAAUCCCGUCUGUUACUGAUUGUGAGGUUCGUUUAUGAUACGCUUUCAAAGAGUCGAGUUGUUUGGGAUUGCAGCUCCAAAUGGGUGGUAAACAUCACCUAAGGCUAAAUAUUUGCGAGAGACCGAUAGCGAACAAGUACCGUGAGGGAAAGAUGAAAAGAACUUUGAAAAGAGAGUUAAAAAGUAUGUGAAAUUGUUGAAAGGGAAACGAUUGAAGUCAGUCGUGCAGUCAUCAAUUCAGCGGUUAACAUUUUAUGUUUCCGUGUAAUUUGGUGUCUGUUGGUUAGCAUCAAUUUUGAUUGUUAUAAAAAGGUUAAGGGGAUGUGGCUCCUUCGGGAGUGUUAUAACCCUUAGCGUAAUGUGACGAUUAGGAUUGAGGUUUGCAACGAAUACCUUUUAGGGCAGUUUCACCUGGCCUCUCGUGGAAUUAUAGAUAGUUAAGAGCAUGCUCUUACUGUUUAUGAUUCUACGAAAAGGUUGGAGUGUAAAACUAAUUCGUUAAGGAUGUUGACGUA